AGUUUGAUCCUGGCUCAGAACGAACGCUGGCGGCAUGCCUAACACAUGCAAGUCGAACGAGACCUUCGGGUCUAGUGGCGCACGGGUGCGUAACGCUGGGAAUCUGCCCUUGGGUUCGGAAUAACAGCGAGAAAUUGCUGCUAAUACCGGAUGAUGACGUAAGUCCAAAGAUUUAUCGCCCAAGGAUGAGCCCGCGUAAGAUUAGCUAGUUGGUGGGGUAAAAGCCUACCAAGGCGACGAUCUUUAGCUGGUCUGAGGGGAUGAUCAGCCACACUGGGACUGAGACACGGCCCAGACUCCUACGGGAGGCAGCAGUGGGGAAUAUUGGACAAUGGGCGAAAGCCUGAUCCAGCAAUGCCGCGUGAGUGAUGAAGGCCCUAGGGUUGUAAAGCUCUUUACCAGGGAUGAUAAUGACAGUACCUGGAGAAUAAGCUCCGGCUAACUCCGUG
RNAcentral lists this ribosomal RNA (449 nucleotides) under uncultured bacterium. Its description in RNAcentral is "bacterial SSU rRNA". It matches the Rfam family "Bacterial small subunit ribosomal RNA", at positions 10 to 507 of the family's 1533-position model. The record is from RNAcentral.